UACAGAGGGUGCGAGCGUUAAUCGGAAUUACUGGGCGUAAAGCGCGCGUAGGCGGCUUUGCAAGUCGAGUGUGAAAUCCCCAGGCUUAACCUGGGAACUGCAUUCGAGACUGCAUAGCUAGAGUAUGGGAGAGGAAGUGGAAUUUCAGGUGUAGCGGUGAAAUGCGUAGAUAUCUGAAGGAACAUCAGUGGCGAAAGCGACUUCCUGGACCAAUACUGACGCUCAUGUGCGAAAAGCGUGGGGAGCAAACAGG
Molecule: ribosomal RNA, 253 nt
Filed under: uncultured bacterium
Lineage: Bacteria
Description: partial 16S ribosomal RNA
Rfam family: Bacterial small subunit ribosomal RNA
Source: RNAcentral